This is a non-coding RNA of Microcebus murinus (gray mouse lemur), 2017 nucleotides long. The record is from RefSeq and is a predicted model, not a curated record. Lineage: Eukaryota; Metazoa; Chordata; Mammalia; Primates; Cheirogaleidae.
AUGUUUGAGCCAUUCCCUUUAUGCUCCUCGAGAAUCUUCCUGGCAAACUUCUAUUCAUUCCUCAAAACCCAACUGGGGGAGAUGUCCCUCAUCCUGUGCCAGAGAAGGCCCUGGCCUUCCCCACCAUGCAGAGAGCCGCCCACCGGCCCCCGCAGCACGGGCUCCCAUCACCACCACAGGGCAAAACUGCCGUCAACCGCCAUGGGACCACAGGCUGCCACCUGCAGCCUGUGCUGUGGCUAAAAACACAGGCAGUUGUCCCCAGUGCUCCCCCUCUGGAGAAUGUGCCCAGGAGCGGAGGUGCAGCUGCCUGGGAACCAGGGUGUCUGUGGUUUUCCACCCCCCGCCCCCCAUUUCAACACCCAGGGGUGAGGCCACCCACUGUGUGCAGGGCUCAGGCACUCGGCUUCUGUGUAUGGCAGUGCCCAGCAGAUGACCCUCCUGGCAGGGCACACGCAUGGUAACCUGCCCUCCCUCCCUGGGCUCAGCCACUCUCCAGACCCACCCAGGAGAAAACAUCUGCAGGGAAGUGUAGAACAUUCCAGUAACUCACAAAUAACCCCCACGAUUAACCGGCAGCCAGUAAAGCAUGGUUCCCAGGGGCCAGCUGCUGCCCUCCACCCCAGUCCCCAACUGCGGAAAGAGCGUGGGAAGGCAAGGGGGUGGGCACCAGCAUCCCAGGCCAACGCCGGCACUCUGCUCCUAGCAACUAACCACCGGAGCCCACCUCACAAUGGAUGGUGACCAGCAGGUCAAGGUACCCAGCUGGCAACAGCUGAGCUGCGCCAGGGCUGGCACAGGGACAGCAGGAGGGGGACUGGCUCUCUUCCACAAAAACUCAAGUCCAGAGGCACACCCAGCCUAAGCCACUCCCAUCCCUUUUGAGUGGUUCUAGGAACCCAGUCAUGAUCUAAGAACAUCCAGAUCAUGGCCCACCAUGGGUGUUCAUGGCCUCCACCAGCACGGGGUGUGUGAUGGUGGCCCCCCUGGAUGCUUGUACAGGCUCUGAAGGCAACAGGGCCACCCAGACAAGUGUCUGGGGUAACAGAAUCAGGAUCAAUUGUCAACAGCACUUGGGAAAGCCUUGACCCCAAGGCUCCGUGUGCCUCCAACAGUGGAACAGGGCAGGAGCAGAAAGGAAGCAAGACACAGGCCCAGCAGAGAACGUGGAGGUGCACACGGUGCUUAGGGCAGAGGAAUGUGGACAAGUUCAUCCCGCCGGCCCUGUGCAGGGUGGUGUUCAGGUGGAAGCCCCUCGUCCUGCAAAUACAGCUUGGCCAGUCCACGCAUGGAGAAGAACAACCUGGGCUUAGGAUAUUUGUAGCAUUCAACGCCAGAUAUGAUGAUGUGGCCGAAUUUGAGCAUUUCAGCAGGCCACCCUUUCUGCAAGAACAAAGCGGAUGGACCAGCUGCUCAGCUGCGGCCUUGGCCAUAAAUCCUCAGGCACCAGCCUGGUCCACGCAGAUGCUCGGCUCUCUCCAGCCUCCUCGCUGGACCAUUAACUGUACACACAUCGGCUUCGGUCAACAUUGCCUUUUGUGACCUCUGGUCACUAAUUGUAAGUGACCCCAGGGGCUGAUAAAGGGAGGGCAGCAUCUCAGAACAUAUUUUCCUCUUCUGGUAGACUUAAGAGGGAAGCAGAGGCCAGGGACGCUGCUGUCCAGAGUCAUCAGACCGGUGAAACCUGGCCAGAGCCCCCACGAGUGGCCUGGGCCACGGGAUGCCAGCAGAAUGGAUCCUGACUUUCUGUUUUUAAAAUCAUCCAUGCUCAUGUCACUGGGCUCUCUCUCCUGGGGAUGGACCCCUGGGCCCCGGCAGACUGUAUCUGAGAAACUGGUUAUCUUCAAGCACCCAGAAACUUGGGCAUAAAAAGGCAUAUUCUAAAUAUUAACCCGAGCUUGCCCCCGGUUUUUGUGGGGACAGUAAAUGGGCCAAGAAAACUGAGGGUCCUGAGCCAAAUGAGGGGGAACCGUGCAGCUUGGAGCCAAGGCUCCACCACCAGGGGACACAGGGGCGA